Long non-coding RNA from Pristis pectinata (smalltooth sawfish), 994 nucleotides. RefSeq lists it as uncharacterized. The transcript has 4 exons. The record is from RefSeq and is a predicted model, not a curated record. NCBI's taxonomy places the organism in Eukaryota, Metazoa, Chordata, Chondrichthyes, Rhinopristiformes, Pristidae.
GAGAUGGUCAAGUCUUUUCAUGAUUCCUGAAACCAUAGAAUCACAUAGUACAGACACCAUUCGAGUUCAAAAACAUGAUGAUGCUGGAGGAACUCAGCAGGCCAGGCAGCAUCCGUGGAGAAAAGCAGACAGUCAACGUUUCAGAAGCAGUUUGUCUUCAGUGUGAUGUUCCAGUGACAGAAGAUAUCUUUCUCGGAACCUUUUUCAGAAAGAGGCUGGGAGGUGAUAGGUGCAGGCGACAAAGGGCUGACUCCAAAAGGAAGGCGGAGCAUGGAAUCAGGUGGAUUUAAAACAUCCCAUGCUGGUUUUUUGAAGAACAGCAGGAUAUUAUUCCUGGGAUCCUGGCCAAAUCUCAUCCUUCAUUUUGCAUUAUUGGAAAGUUAUAUGUCAACACUGUUAUGCUCUGUUUGAGAGAUUGAUGUAUUGUCUGCCACAAUUCCUAUAUCCUAAAAUGCUUCAAAAAUAACUAAAUUGCUGUAAAGCAUUUCAAAACAUCAUGAAAGGGAGUUAAAAAAACAUUAUACAUCAAUGCAGAUUUUACUUUUCCAUCCUUCAAAAUAUUAACACCAAAUCUGGCAAACAAAAUCAAAAACUUGCAGAUGCAAGAAAUCUGAAAUAAAAACACAAGUUACAUAAGUUAAUGUUUCAGGGCAAAGAACAAGCAUUUUCUGUUUUUAUAUUGGUAUACACAUUUAAAAAAUAAAUAUAAUUGAUAGAAAUUAAACUUACAGCCAAGAUUUCUGUCUUAUGUUCAUGAAUCACUUUUAAAAUUUCUUUAGCACUAUUGUUAGCUUGGCAGCCAAGAGCACAGCAGGUUAAUAAGAUAACGCCGAUGUAGAACAUUUUCUUUAAAGUGAUGGAGGAGUAUUUCUUCCACGCCAUCUCUUGUUAUCAUAACAUAGGUUCAAUCUUUUUAUACCUUCACAUCGGAAAUGUACCUGUCACUUUAAAAUUUAUCUGUGAGUGUUGCAAAAAAAUAAACCAUCAUCUUUUC